RNAcentral lists this ribosomal RNA (466 nucleotides) under uncultured bacterium. RNAcentral describes it as "partial 16S ribosomal RNA". It matches the Rfam family "Bacterial small subunit ribosomal RNA", at positions 28 to 507 of the family's 1533-position model. The record is from RNAcentral.
GACGAACGCUGGCGGCGUGCUUAACACAUGCAAGUCGAACGGUAAGGCUCCAGCUUGCUGGGGUACACGAGUGGCGAACGGGUGAGUAACACGUGGGUGACCUGCCCUGCACUUCGGGAUAAGCCUGGGAAACUGGGUCUAAUACCGGAUAGGACCAUGGUGUGGAUACUGUGGUGGAAAGUUUUUUCGGUGUGGGAUGGGCCCGCGGCCUAUCAGCUUGUUGGUGGGGUAAUGGCCUACCAAGGCGGCGACGGGUAGCCGGCCUGAGAGGGUGGACGGCCACAUUGGGACUGAGACACGGCCCAGACUCCUACGGGAGGCAGCAAUGGGGAAUAUUGCACAAUGGGCGGAAGCCUGAUGCAGCGACGCCGCGUGGGGGAUGACGGCCUUCGGGUUGUAAACUCCUUUCACCAUCGACGAAGGGUUUCUGACGGUAGAUGGAGAAGAAGCACCGGCUAACUACGUG